Molecule: ribosomal RNA, 424 nt
Filed under: uncultured prokaryote
Description: bacterial SSU rRNA
Rfam family: Bacterial small subunit ribosomal RNA
Source: RNAcentral
UGGGGAAUAUUGGACAAUGGGGGAAACCCUGAUCCAGCAAUGCCGCGUGAGUGAUGAAGGCCUUAGGGUUGUAAAGCUCUUUUACCCGGGAUGAUAAUGACAGUACCGGGAGAAUAAGCUCCGGCUAACUCCGUGCCAGCAGCCGCGGUAAUACGGAGGGAGCUAGCGUUGUUCGGAAUUACUGGGCGUAAAGCGCGCGUAGGCGGCUUUCCAAGUCAGAGGUGAAAUCCCGGGGCUCAACCCCGGAACUGCCUUUGAAACUGGAUUGCUAGAAUCUUGGAGAGGCGAGUGGAAUUCCGAGUGUAGAGGUGAAAUUCGUAGAUAUUCGGAAGAACACCAGUGGCGAAGGCGACUCGCUGGACAAGUAUUGACGCUGAGGUGCGAAAGCGUGGGGAGCAAACAGGAUUAGAUACCCCCGUAGUCC